RNAcentral lists this ribosomal RNA (429 nucleotides) under Pseudomonadota bacterium. RNAcentral's name for it is "Proteobacteria bacterium partial 16S ribosomal RNA". It matches the Rfam family "Bacterial small subunit ribosomal RNA", at positions 355 to 776 of the family's 1533-position model. The record is from RNAcentral. Lineage: Bacteria; Pseudomonadati; Pseudomonadota.
UGGGGAAUAUUGGACAAUGGGCGAAAGCCUGAUCCAGCCAUGCCGCGUGUGUGAAGAAGGUCUUCGGAUUGUAAAGCACUUUAAGUUGGGAGGAAGGGCAGUAAGCGAAUACCUUGCUGUUUUGACGUUACCGACAGAAUAAGCACCGGCUAACUCUGUGCCAUCAGCCGCGGUAAUACAGAGGGUGCAAGCGUUAAUCGGAAUUACUGGGCGUAAAGCGCGCGUAGGUGGUUCGUUAAGUUGAAUGUGAAAGCCCCGGGCUCAACCUGAGAACUGCAUCCAAAACUGUCGAGCUAGAGUAGGGCAGAGGGUGGUGGAAUUUCCUGUGUAGCGGUGAAAUGCGUAGAUAUAGGAAGGAACACCAGUUGCGAAGGCGACCACCUGGGCUCAUACUGACACUGAGGUGCGAAAGCGUGGGGAGCAAACAGG